Molecule: ribosomal RNA, 1246 nt
Filed under: Marinococcus sp. HL9
Lineage: Bacteria; Bacillati; Bacillota; Bacilli; Caryophanales; Bacillaceae
Description: bacterial SSU rRNA
Rfam family: Bacterial small subunit ribosomal RNA
Source: RNAcentral
GUCAAGUGCGGCUGCUAUACAUGCAAGUCGAGCGCGGGAAGCCGGCGGACUCCUUCGGGAGGAAACCGGUGGAACGAGCGGCGGACGGGUGAGUAACACGUGGGCAACCUGCCGGACUGAUGGGAAUAACCCCGGGAAACCGGGGCUAAUGCCCAAUACGCCCUGACCUCGCCUGAGGUCAGCGGCAAAGCAGGGAUCUUCGGAUCCUUGCACAGUCCGAUGGGCCCGCGGCGCAUUAGCUAGUUGGAGAGGUAAGGGCUCCCCAAGGCGACGAUGCGUAGCCGACCUGAGAGGGUGAUCGGCCACACUGGGACUGAGACACGGCCCAGACUCCUACGGGAGGCAGCAGUAGGGAAUCAUCCGCAAUGGGCGAAAGCCUGACGGUGCAACGCCGCGUGAGUGAUGAAGGUUUUCGGAUCGUAAAGCUCUGUUGACAGGGAAGAACCCACGCCAGUCGAACAGGCUGGCGUGCUGACGGUACCUGUCCAGAAAGCCCCGGCUAACUACGUGCCAGCAGCCGCGGUAAUACGUAGGGGGCAAGCGUUGUCCGGAAUUAUUGGGCGUAAAGGGCACGCAGGCGGUUUCGUCAGUCCGAUGUGACAGGCCACGGCUCAACCGUGGAAGGCCAUUGGAAACUGCGAAACUUGAGGACAGAAGAGGAGAGUGGAAUUCCACGUGUAGCGGUGAAAUGCGUAGAUAUGUGGAGGAACACCAGUGGCGAAGGCGACUCUCUGGUCUGUACCUGACGCUGAGGUGCGAAAGCAUGGGGAGCAAACAGGAUUAGAUACCCUGGUAGUCCAUGCCGUAAACGCUGAGUGCUAGGUGUUAGGGGUUUCGAUACCCGUAGUGCCGAAGCUAACGCAUUAAGCACUCCGCCUGGGGAGUACGACCGCAAGGUUGAAACUCAAAGGAAUUGACGGGGCCCGCACAAGCGGUGGAGCAUGUGGUUUAAUUCGACGCAACGCGAAGAACCUUACCAGAUCUUGACAUCUUCCGCUACGCCUCGAGAGAGCGUUCCCCUUCGGGGACGGAUGACAGUGUGCAUGUUGUCGUCAGCUCGUGUCGUGAGAUGUGGUAGUCCCGCAACGAGCGCAUCCCCUAUCUAGUGCAGCAUUCAGUGGGUCACCUCUAGGUGACUGCAGUGACUACCGAGCAGGUGGGAUGACGUCAAUCAUCAUGCCGUUAUGAUCUGGCUACACGUCUCAUGAUGAUCACUACGAACUCGCCAGGCAACCAUCCAAAAAAC